Molecule: unclassified non-coding RNA, 206 nt
Filed under: Hevea brasiliensis (rubber tree)
Lineage: Eukaryota; Viridiplantae; Streptophyta; Magnoliopsida; Malpighiales; Euphorbiaceae
Source: RNAcentral
CGGUGAUAUCAUUGUUAAUAGAAUCUUUUGUUUUAUUUUUCAAGUUCAACUGUGAUGAGUGUAAAAUUUGUAAAUUCAAAUUUCUGGUUUAAGCAAAUUGAUUUGCAACACCAGAAAAAUGUGCCCAGUAAAAUUCCAUGUGAAUUUUUGUUUGAACUUUAGUUGUGGUUCAUUGUAUUUUUCUGGAUUUUGGGGGAGGGUCUAAA